This 309-nucleotide ribosomal RNA is filed under the name Triticum aestivum (bread wheat). Its description in RNAcentral is "partial small subunit ribosomal RNA". Lineage: Eukaryota; Viridiplantae; Streptophyta; Magnoliopsida; Poales; Poaceae. The record is from RNAcentral.
AUGCGUCGCCGGACGGCCGUCCACGCGGUCCUCGUUGCCGCCGGCCUCCUGGUGCUGCUGGCCACGUACUCGCCGCCGCCGCUGCGUUCUCCUCCAGUGCUGCUACUGGGUGGCGACGCCGACGCGGGUGCGCAGGGUAGCCGGUCGGCGCAGUCGACGCCACGUGAGAGGAGGAAGCUGGGUGUGGUAGCCGGCCGGCGCUUGGGCCAGAGAGUGCCCGUGAAGCCACCCUCGCCGGACCCCAACGGCUGGAAGACGAUGGUGAAGCCCGUGCCGCCGCCGCCGCCGCCGCCAUCAUCAAUUUACUAG